Molecule: transfer RNA, 71 nt
Filed under: Nannocystis sp.
Lineage: Bacteria; Pseudomonadati; Myxococcota; Nannocystales; Nannocystaceae
Description: tRNA-Gly
Rfam family: tRNA
About the family: Transfer RNA (tRNA) molecules are approximately 80 nucleotides in length. Their secondary structure includes four short double-helical elements and three loops (D, anti-codon, and T loops).
Source: RNAcentral
GUGCGCGAAGUGUUGUGGCUGCACGCCUCCCUCCCAAGGAGGCAGCGAGGGUUCAAUUCCCUCCGCGCACU